AAAAUUUUAGUUUAUUUAGAAUGAAGAAUUGUAAAUUCUUAGGUUUAAAUUUUG
This 54-nucleotide transfer RNA is filed under the name Neofoleyellides sp. XM-2022. RNAcentral describes it as "tRNA-Tyr". Lineage: Eukaryota; Metazoa; Nematoda; Chromadorea; Rhabditida; Onchocercidae. The record is from RNAcentral.